RNAcentral lists this ribosomal RNA (468 nucleotides) under uncultured bacterium. RNAcentral describes it as "partial 16S ribosomal RNA". It matches the Rfam family "Bacterial small subunit ribosomal RNA", at positions 28 to 507 of the family's 1533-position model. The record is from RNAcentral.
GACGAACGCUGGCGGCGUGCUUAACACAUGCAAGUCGAACGGAAAGGCCCUGCUUUUGUGGGGUGCUCGAGUGGCGAACGGGUGAGUAACACGUGAGUAACCUGCCCUUGACUUUGGGAUAACUUCAGGAAACUGGGGCUAAUACCGGAUAGGAGCUCCUGCUGCAUGGUGGGGGUUGGAAAGUUUCGGCGGUUGGGGAUGGACUCGCGGCUUAUCAGCUUGUUGGUGGGGUAGUGGCUUACCAAGGCUUUGACGGGUAGCCGGCCUGGGAGGGUGACCGGCCACAAUGGGACUGAGGUACGGACCAGACUCCUACGGGAGGCAGCAGUGGGGAAUAUUGCACAAUGGGCGGAAGCCUGAUGCAGCAACGCCGCGUGCGGGAUGACGGCCUUCGGGUUGUAAACCGCUUUCGCCUGUGACGAAGCGUGAGUGACGGUAAUGGGUAAAGAAGCACCGGCUAACUACGUG